Molecule: long non-coding RNA, 2460 nt
Filed under: Glycine max (soybean)
Lineage: Eukaryota; Viridiplantae; Streptophyta; Magnoliopsida; Fabales; Fabaceae
Description: long non-coding RNA (GMAX_LNC004534)
Source: RNAcentral
CAAAACAUGUGAUGUGGCAAAAACUGUGAUAUUUACGUGUAAGCGUGUUGCUUCACAGCUAUAUAUAUAUAUAUAUAUAUAUAUAUAUAUAUAUAUAUAUAUAUAUAUAUAUAUAUAUAUAUAUAUAUAUAUAUAUAUAAUACAUCGUUUAAACUCAUCUUUAUUUUUUGGACUUUGAUAAUUUAUUUUAUUUAUUUUGGUCAAGAUUCUUUAUCCUUUAGAAAAUUCAUUUGAUCUUUUAUGUUCCAAAAAGGAAUCAAAAUGAUCAUUCCGUGAGUGCAAAAUGAUCCUCCCCCUUCCGUUGCAAGUGCCAUCGUUUCAGACACUUAGCCUGUGCUGUUCGGGUGUUUGAUUUUGCAGCUGGCGUUGUACCCUUUGUUGUCGCUGAGGCUUCUGUUUUCCCCAACCUGUGGUCAGUUAGGGUUUUCAUAGCUUUUGCUUUCGCCCACCGUGUCGGUUCCUAGUCCUCGCUGGAGGGUAAUUUGAUUGGGGAGGUGAGUUUAUUUUACGGGUUGUUGUGUUACCUAUACAUGGCGCUGGUGCCAGGGGGAAUUCAAUUUGCGGUGGUUGGACUCUGUAGUGGUCCGAUGCUGCAUAGUUUAUUCUGUAAUUGGGAUAUCAAAGACAUCAAAAGGGUACAAUUAUGGACUUUUUUUAUCCAAUUAUACCUUUUGAUUUUUUUAUAUACCCAACUAUUCCUCUCCCCAAAUUAUUAACAUAAUUAUCCCUCUUUACAAUUCAGUGUGAAUUCUGACCUUCCAGUAGUCCUGUUUCUACUUUUGCAAACCCCAGUUUAGAAUUUGUGAGCCCCAAACGUGAAUACUAAAAGGUUUCGGAUUUACCUUUUCUUUUUUGCACGCUCCCUUUUACUAACUUUGUGUGCUUUCACACCUUUUUUUACUUUUUGCAUACCCUCAUUUCGAAUUCGGUACCCCAAACCCAAAUUUUGAACAUUUUUUUGUUUUGAUUAUUCUGAUUUUGUAAAUUUUUAAGUAAUUAGUAAUAUAUUUAAUUAUUUUAUUUCAAUAAUAUAAUUUUUAAUACAUAAUGAUGUAGCUAAUUAACUAAUUGUAAAUAAUUAUUAAUAAUUACUAAUUUUUUUAAAAAAAUUAUGACAACGGACUACUAAAUAAUAUUAUGACUAGAUAGACAGAAUAAAUGAUUAGUAUUUUGUGAUAAUCCAUAGACACAAACAAGAACAACAUAAGUUAUCAAACAUUUUAAUAACAAUUUAAUUGUGUAUUUUGCUUUUAUUUUUAGCAACUAGUGUAUUAACAAAUUAUUGUCAGUAUUUUGUAUUUAUGUAAUUUACUUAUGUUAAUAUGUUAAUUUUUCGUCAUUCAAAAUUUAUUGGCCAAGUUUCAUAGCUCCUAUUUGAACCAUAUCCAGGAAAAAAAAUGACCUUUGCUUCAAAAUUUUAGUCCAUGAGGAUAAUUUUUGGCACUUGUAUGGUUAUGUGUAUUAGUUAUUUUGGUUCAAAUAAUGAUUCAUUCUCAUUGUUCAUAUCGAUGAAGCCAAUAACAGAACUCCCAGGACUUCAAUCGGCCUAAAAAUGCAUAAAAAUUGCAAAAAACAAGAAAAAUCACCUUUACUUCAAAAUUUCAUUUCAUGAGGGCAACUUUUGGCACUUGUAUAGUUAUGCGUAUCAGUUAUUUUGGUUCAAAUAACGAUUCAUUCUCAUAGUUUUUAUGUUGAUGAACUCAAUAAUAGAACUCUCAGGACUCCAAUUGGCCUAAAAAUGCAUAAAAAGUGCCCAAAACAAGAAAAAAAACACCUUUGCUUCCUCAUUUGUGGCAAAAAAUAAUGAGCGGUUGAGAUAGCACUGACGAUAAUGAAUGAUCGAUAAUGCAUUGAUGUGAACAAGAUUUCUGUUCUUUCAUCGAGAAUCCUAUAGAACUUCGUAUUUUGUGACAAAAAAGUAGUGGCCAAGAUAACACUGAUGACAAUCAACAACCCAUAAUGCAUUGAUGUGAAUGAGGUUACAGUUCAUCUGUCAGGAAUCCUCUAGAGCUUCACCUUUUUUGGCAAAAAAAAGAGCGAUCGAGAUAGCACCGAUGACAAUCAAUGACCCAUAAUGCAUUGAUGUGAACGAGAUCACUCUUCACUCACCAAGAAUCUUACAAAGCUUCGAUUUUUGUGCCACAAUAGAUGAACGACUGAGAUGACAAUGGAUGAAAAUGGCCGACAACAUAUUUCAUUUAAUCCAUGCUAUCUCUUUUAUUUAAAUCUCGACUCAUUUAUUUGUAUAAAUAUGGGUAAUGUAUUAAUAUAAAUUUCAAUAUCUCAUAAUCUUCAAACCAUUUAUUUUUCUUACAAAGUCUCAUUCAUCAUGGACAAUAAUCCGUGAAAAUUUCUUGACAUUGAUGACUUAGACCUCCUAUUCUUUUUCGCCCUUCUAACCCAAAUCUGUCAUCCUACAGUUCAAGAGUACUUAUUCCUGGUCUCGUAGGGGUCAUACAG